Long non-coding RNA from Hipposideros armiger (great roundleaf bat), 404 nucleotides. RefSeq lists it as uncharacterized. The record is from RefSeq and is a predicted model, not a curated record. The transcript has 2 exons. NCBI's taxonomy places the organism in Eukaryota, Metazoa, Chordata, Mammalia, Chiroptera, Hipposideridae.
CAGCCUAUAAAGGCGGUGUCACUCCAGCCUCUGGAAACCCGCCUGCUCAGCCUCCAGGGAGCUCUCCUUCCUCUGCUGUCAUCGUGGCCCAGCCUGGCAGCCACAAUGAGGCUUUUCUACCUUCUGUUGCUGCCUCUUUGCCUGCUCUUCGCCCAGGUGGCCCCAGGUGAUGGCCUCUUUUCAGGUCUCUUCCACAGAUACCCAGAAUACCAAUGUGCCAAAAAGGGGGGCACCUGUAACUUUUCCCCGUGCCCGCUCUUUACCAGGGUUGAUGGCGCCUGUUACAGUGGGAAGGCCAAGUGCUGCGUCUGAGCUGGGAGCAGCGGAGGCAAAACGCAGGAGCCAUGUGAACACUUUGUAGGCGUUGUUUUAAUAAAAGAAGACUUUUUUUUGUUUCUGAAGCA